RNAcentral lists this ribosomal RNA (2902 nucleotides) under Escherichia coli. RNAcentral describes it as "bacterial LSU rRNA". It matches the Rfam family "Bacterial large subunit ribosomal RNA". The record is from RNAcentral. Lineage: Bacteria; Pseudomonadati; Pseudomonadota; Gammaproteobacteria; Enterobacterales; Enterobacteriaceae.
UUAAGCGACUAAGCGUACACGGUGGAUGCCCUGGCAGUCAGAGGCGAUGAAGGACGUGCUAAUCUGCGAUAAGCGUCGGUAAGGUGAUAUGAACCGUUAUAACCGGCGAUUUCCGAAUGGGGAAACCCAGUGUGAUUCGUCACACUAUCAUUAACUGAAUCCAUAGGUUAAUGAGGCGAACCGGGGGAACUGAAACAUCUAAGUACCCCGAGGAAAAGAAAUCAACCGAGAUUCCCCCAGUAGCGGCGAGCGAACGGGGAGCAGCCCAGAGCCUGAAUCAGUGUGUGUGUUAGUGGAAGCGUCUGGAAAGGCGCGCGAUACAGGGUGACAGCCCCGUACACAAAAAUGCACAUGCUGUGAGCUCGAUGAGUAGGGCGGGACACGUGGUAUCCUGUCUGAAUAUGGGGGGACCAUCCUCCAAGGCUAAAUACUCCUGACUGACCGAUAGUGAACCAGUACCGUGAGGGAAAGGCGAAAAGAACCCCGGCGAGGGGAGUGAAAAAGAACCUGAAACCGUGUACGUACAAGCAGUGGGAGCACGCUUAGGCGUGUGACUGCGUACCUUUUGUAUAAUGGGUCAGCGACUUAUAUUCUGUAGCAAGGUUAACCGAAUAGGGGAGCCGAAGGGAAACCGAGUCUUAACUGGGCGUUAAGUUGCAGGGUAUAGACCCGAAACCCGGUGAUCUAGCCAUGGGCAGGUUGAAGGUUGGGUAACACUAACUGGAGGACCGAACCGACUAAUGUUGAAAAAUUAGCGGAUGACUUGUGGCUGGGGGUGAAAGGCCAAUCAAACCGGGAGAUAGCUGGUUCUCCCCGAAAGCUAUUUAGGUAGCGCCUCGUGAAUUCAUCUCCGGGGGUAGAGCACUGUUUCGGCAAGGGGGUCAUCCCGACUUACCAACCCGAUGCAAACUGCGAAUACCGGAGAAUGUUAUCACGGGAGACACACGGCGGGUGCUAACGUCCGUCGUGAAGAGGGAAACAACCCAGACCGCCAGCUAAGGUCCCAAAGUCAUGGUUAAGUGGGAAACGAUGUGGGAAGGCCCAGACAGCCAGGAUGUUGGCUUAGAAGCAGCCAUCAUUUAAAGAAAGCGUAAUAGCUCACUGGUCGAGUCGGCCUGCGCGGAAGAUGUAACGGGGCUAAACCAUGCACCGAAGCUGCGGCAGCGACGCUUAUGCGUUGUUGGGUAGGGGAGCGUUCUGUAAGCCUGCGAAGGUGUACUGUGAGGUAUGCUGGAGGUAUCAGAAGUGCGAAUGCUGACAUAAGUAACGAUAAAGCGGGUGAAAAGCCCGCUCGCCGGAAGACCAAGGGUUCCUGUCCAACGUUAAUCGGGGCAGGGUGAGUCGACCCCUAAGGCGAGGCCGAAAGGCGUAGUCGAUGGGAAACAGGUUAAUAUUCCUGUACUUGGUGUUACUGCGAAGGGGGGACGGAGAAGGCUAUGUUGGCCGGGCGACGGUUGUCCCGGUUUAAGCGUGUAGGCUGGUUUUCCAGGCAAAUCCGGAAAAUCAAGGCUGAGGCGUGAUGACGAGGCACUACGGUGCUGAAGUAACAAAUGCCCUGCUUCCAGGAAAAGCCUCUAAGCAUCAGGUAACAUCAAAUCGUACCCCAAACCGACACAGGUGGUCAGGUAGAGAAUACCAAGGCGCUUGAGAGAACUCGGGUGAAGGAACUAGGCAAAAUGGUGCCGUAACUUCGGGAGAAGGCACGCUGAUAUGUAGGUGAAGUCCCUUGCGGAUGGAGCUGAAAUCAGUCGAAGAUACCAGCUGGCUGCAACUGUUUAUUAAAAACACAGCACUGUGCAAACACGAAAGUGGACGUAUACGGUGUGACGCCUGCCCGGUGCCGGAAGGUUAAUUGAUGGGGUCAGCGCAAGCGAAGCUCUUGAUCGAAGCCCCGGUAAACGGCGGCCGUAACUAUAACGGUCCUAAGGUAGCGAAAUUCCUUGUCGGGUAAGUUCCGACCUGCACGAAUGGCGUAAUGAUGGCCAGGCUGUCUCCACCCGAGACUCAGUGAAAUUGAACUCGCUGUGAAGAUGCAGUGUACCCGCGGCAAGACGGAAAGACCCCGUGAACCUUUACUAUAGCUUGACACUGAACAUUGAGCCUUGAUGUGUAGGAUAGGUGGGAGGCUUAGAAGUGUGGACGCCAGUCUGCAUGGAGCCGACCUUGAAAUACCACCCUUUAAUGUUUGAUGUUCUAACGUUGACCCGUAAUCCGGGUUGCGGACAGUGUCUGGUGGGUAGUUUGACUGGGGCGGUCUCCUCCUAAAGAGUAACGGAGGAGCACGAAGGUUGGCUAAUCCUGGUCGGACAUCAGGAGGUUAGUGCAAUGGCAUAAGCCAGCUUGACUGCGAGCGUGACGGCGCGAGCAGGUGCGAAAGCAGGUCAUAGUGAUCCGGUGGUUCUGAAUGGAAGGGCCAUCGCUCAACGGAUAAAAGGUACUCCGGGGAUAACAGGCUGAUACCGCCCAAGAGUUCAUAUCGACGGCGGUGUUUGGCACCUCGAUGUCGGCUCAUCACAUCCUGGGGCUGAAGUAGGUCCCAAGGGUAUGGCUGUUCGCCAUUUAAAGUGGUACGCGAGCUGGGUUUAGAACGUCGUGAGACAGUUCGGUCCCUAUCUGCCGUGGGCGCUGGAGAACUGAGGGGGGCUGCUCCUAGUACGAGAGGACCGGAGUGGACGCAUCACUGGUGUUCGGGUUGUCAUGCCAAUGGCACUGCCCGGUAGCUAAAUGCGGAAGAGAUAAGUGCUGAAAGCAUCUAAGCACGAAACUUGCCCCGAGAUGAGUUCUCCCUGACCCUUUAAGGGUCCUGAAGGAACGUUGAAGACGACGACGUUGAUAGGCCGGGUGUGUAAGCGCAGCGAUGCGUUGAGCUAACCGGUACUAAUGAACCGUGAGGCUUAACCUU